UGUCUUGAGCUCCAUCACUGAAGCAAAACAGGAAGGAUCGUCUGCAACCAGAGGAGUGUAUUCCCCUGCGCAAAACAGGUAAAUGUUUAAAACUUUUACUGCCAUUGAAAGCUUUAUGGUUAGGUAGUUAAUGUGUUUGGUGUGUUUGCAUUGAUGUUGUUAGUUAGGUUAUUUAAAACUUGUUGUAGUUAAAUGACUUUCUUUGGUUUGAAUUGCCGAUAAUAAAUUGUUUGCUUUAGUUUGAAUUGUCUAAAUUUGUGGUUGAUUAUGGUUGUGAAACUGUAAUAAAUGGGAGUUAGAUAAAUGUCAACUCGUAGACUCUCCUUAAAACUUCUUCCUUCUCAUCUAUCUAAAACAGAUUCCUAUCUGUUUUUUCUCUAUUCUUUAACCUCGGAAAUGGAAUUUAAUCCGUUUACUGAGCCUUCAAACUUUGUUGACCUGCUUAGCAGUCAACAGAAUGUGGUCUUUGGUAAUGUACCCGAGUCACAGCUUCCCUUCUUUGCUAGUCAAGCCACGCACGAUUCGAACAUUGGUGAAGAGACUCAAGGCAGCCGUAAGGAGAGGAGGACGUGGUCUCCAACUGACGACAUUGUGCUCAUCAGCUCGUGGUUAAACACGAGCAAAGAUGCAGUAGUGGGGAAUGAACAGAGGUCUAUUGCAUUCUGGAAGCGAAUUGAUGUGUACUACAACGCUAGUCCCAAGCUUGUUGGGUGUGAAAAGCGAGAGGCAGCUCACUGUAAGAAUCGUUGGCAGAAGAUAAAUGACCUUGUUUGCAAGUUUUGUGGAGCUUUUGAAGCUGCGACCAGAGAGAGAACCAGUGGGCAAAAUAAAACUGAUGUUCUCAAACUGGCCCACGAAAUCUUCUUCACCAAUUAUAAAAAAAAAUUCACGCUUGAGCAUGCUUGGAAAGAGUUGCGUAAUGACCAAAAGUGGACUGAGUUGUCUACGGCUAAAGCUGAGGGAAGCUCUAAAAAGAGGAAGAGUAUGGACGUUUCUCACUCUGCAAGCUCUAAAGCAAUUGAUGUAGACUCUGGUGAUGAAGCAACAACUCGUCCCCCUGGAGUUAAGGCAUCAAAAGCUCGUUCUAAGAAGCCAAUUGGUGAUGCAAAGGACUACGAAGAGUUUCAGUCAAUGUGGUCUAUGAAGAAGGAGGAUUUGACUAUAAAGAAGGAGCUGUCUAAGAUCAAGCUUCUGGAGACUCUCAUUGGUAAAGAAGGACCACUCGCGGAUUAUGAAGAAACUUUGAAGAAGAAACUCAUUAAUGAGUUAGGGUAUAAUUAAAAUAAGUCACUGUUUGUCUUGCUUGUGUUGCUUUUCUUGCUUGUGUUGCUUAAUUAAAAUAAAUCAUGUAUGCCUCUGUUUCUAUUUAAUGAGUAAAAUGUUCUCUUAGUGAUUUUAAUCAUCUAUGCCUCUGUUUCUAUUUAAUGAGUAAAAUGUUCUAUAGAAUGUUUACUGAUUGCUGUAAUGAACUUGUGUCCUACUGCAGGUGACUUGUCUAGUCUUGUAGUCUUGUGAAGUCACGGACAGUCUUGUGAAGUCACGGAGGAGGCUUCUUGUGUAGUUGUGAAGUCACGGACAAUAACGAGUGGAGGAGGCUUCUUGUGAAGUCACGGACCUGCAAAAGUGAAAUGUCUAGUGUUUAAGGCAUGUGUAGUGUCUUGUUUGUAUGCAUAUGUCACGGACACACUUCUCAUUGUUUAUCUAUUUUGUAACUCACUUGUAUAAAUUAGACACGCUUCUCAUUGUUAUAACAAACACAAGACCAUCUCCUCUC
Molecule: long non-coding RNA, 1774 nt
Filed under: Brassica napus (rape)
Lineage: Eukaryota; Viridiplantae; Streptophyta; Magnoliopsida; Brassicales; Brassicaceae
Description: long non-coding RNA (BNAP_LNC023256)
Source: RNAcentral